ACGCUGCUACUAAAAUAGUAGGAGCGCUUCUUUAGUAACACACGCUACUAGUAUCUAGGAUACUAGUAGCGCUUCUAUAGUAACACACGCUACUAGUAUCUAUCCUAAUAGCGCACGGGUUUUCCCAAACGCUACUACUAACUAAUUAUGAAUUAAAAAAAUAAAAUCCACAAAUUCCAUUUUAUGCAUUACACAUCAUUAUACAUCAUUACAAAUCCAAGAUUUAUAGUAAACCAGGAGCAUUAGAGCAUAUCCAGACACCUACAGUUCUUGCCAAGGCAAACAGAAUUACAGGCAAACCAAAAAUGCAUAGAAAGACCAAACUGUGGCAUCCUAUCUCUCCAAAUGAUCUGCUCCCGCUGCAUCCUUGCAAGCGUCUUCACGAUAAGCAAAUCUACAGGAAAAAAGUCAACUUAGCAUAUAGAUUUUAUCCAUUGCCUUGGCCAUGUUCAAGAAGCACUAAAUUUGGAACAUUUCUACUAUAAAUACAUGAGGCAUCGGGACAAAAAACAAAAGAUGAGCAAUAUCAUAUGAGAAGAAUAAAAAGGAGUUUGGACCAUAGAAUGGUUAACAAUAAAACUAGAAGCAACAUGCACGCUUUGCCGCACCGAGUCAUGAGUCCAGCAUAAAUUUUGCACGUUGCCCCAAGAUGUAUUGCAAAGAGCCUCCAUAUAAGAAAUUACAAUUUGGCUAAUUUGGAUAUAUUGAAACAAUGCAUACAUCCCCUUCUUGGUACAGUAAAACAUUGUUUCAUCUCAGGCGACAACCAUUUAGUUUAGAUUAAAGGAUAACUUUCAGAAAAAUAAUUAACCCUUAAAACCUGUUAACAAAAAAAUACAUUGUCACUAUAGAGUAACUUGGAAAAUUUCAAAAUUUCAAACAUGUUAUCUAGAAUGGCAUUACUUAUUUUGGGCAUAGCUAAACGUACAAGCUUAAUACUACUGAAAUUCUAAAAUCUAUUUGUAUGUGUUCGAUCAGAAGCAAUGUUUGGUUUUGUUCAUAGGUUGUCCCCUGUUUUGUCAUUCCACCUAACUGAAAGAGAUUGUAAUUGGGUCAACAAAUGGCAUACAUUUUUUUAGGUAGACAAACCUAUUUUGUUGAAAAUCUUAACUUUGUAGUUCAGUAGCUAUUGUGUAGGUGUAUUUCAAUCUUAUGGCUUUUUUUGCCUGAGAUUCCUAUAUACUGCUUAAUUUCUUCUUAAUUCCCCGUGUUUACUACCACUAUACCACUAUAUUUGAUAUGUUUUUAUUUAGUUCCAUUUAAUAUUGAUUCAGCUAUAUUAUGGGUGGCUUUGGCAUUUUUCCCUUACAAUCGUGUGUCUGACGAAUUAUGGGGUGUGCCUCUUUCACACUAAUGUCCGUUGCAAACUAGUUGCAAACUAAUCAUGAAAUUCAAUUACUUCAAGUCUUUACUGACAACAUGAUUUACCUCCAAUUCGUUGCUCCUUUUGUUUCAUCACAAAGCAAUGAAGUUUAGUAGCAUAACUUCUAGUAGUAUUAAGAAAAUCCAUAUCAAAGGGACUUAAGAUACUUCUAUGUUUCAUUUUGAUGACACUCUCAUGUGUCAGACUAGUUAUACUUAGUCAAUGUCGUAAAUAGUUGCUAGACACAUACUAGUUCAAUACGGCGACUCCCACCAAUGAAGUUGGCACAGUUUGAUAAAAGACAUGGUUAGUGUGCAUUUUUAACAAUAGUUACAGAAUUUGGCUUUUUGUCUUGUUUCUCACUAUACUUUUGAUUCACCUGCAGCUAGCAUGUUAUGGGUUCAUGUGAUUGUGAUGAAUUUGGUAUAUCCAAAGUCCCACUGCGAUAUCUUUGAUUUUUACAUUAUAUUAUUUCUAGUUCGGGGCAGUGAAGCCUAUUAGUCCUGAAGUGUUAUAUGUGCUUCUGUGAUGGUGGCCACUACCUAUUUGUUGGUAUACUUUCAAGAAUUGAAAAUAUUCUUUUUUUUCAGUAUCUGUUCAAGUGGAUGACGGUUAAUGUACGAGGGAUAGAGAGUCAUGUCUUCAUAUUUAUGGUCGUUAAGAGUAAUGUGCAAUUGAAACUGAAACCUUCAUUUACUAAUAACCAGUAGCAAAGUUCAGGUUUUGUGAGAAGAAAAGUGAACCAAAGGCUAUAGUACUAUUAAUAGGAUAAUGUGUUGCUUCCAGCCCAUGGAUAAGAAUGUUUCAGUCGCUACAGAGAUAGCCGAACAGAGGAAGUUGGCGUAAAAUCUAUGGUCACCUACUGCUUGAAGAUCAAGUUCGACAGUAAUCAGUUUACAAAUUCGGUAGCAUUCAAUUUUGUAAUAGUGAUUUCUAAAAAAUAAUAAUCAUGCCGCUGGUUACUUAGUGCUCAGUGGCACUCAGUUACGUCCAAACGAAUUUUAUUUGUAAUCUUAAGAUGAAUUUUAUUAGACCGCUUUGUUAUUCCAUGGUUACCAAAAAUUCCUUGUGUACAAAAUCAACCAGUGACCUAUCUUUCUUACGGUUACUAAAAAUGCCUCCUACAGAAUUGUGAUAGUGGCCUAUGUUACUUAAAUCAAUCACGUACCAUAUUUCAUUUUUAGUAGAGAACCGGUGUACUCAGUCCAAUGUAAACAGCAAUAUAUCUAAGGUAAAAUACCUGAACUAUAGAAAGGCAGACCUAUAUCUGAAAAAAAACAAAAACACCUCACUACUGUAAGAUUACCUGAUUAGCCGUAAAAUUACAGAAAGAGGCGCUCUGUGGGUUGCUCGCCUACAGGAACAGGAAGUAAAUUUUUUUUUUUGAAAUACCUACAGGAAGUAAUUGACUCACAUGCAAACUGUAAGAGUACCUUACACUCUUUUCUUUACAGUUGUUUUAGUGCGGAGACCCGUUUCUCAUUCAAAGCUACAAUAUUACCUCACAAAAGUUCUGCUUCAUACUGUCUGUGGUUUUGGACGUGGGAGCAGAAGUUGGCUGGGGUGACAAAUAGCGCGACCCAGCAAGACAUUUGAACACUGGCAAAUUUGCAACUAAUGGGAGCUGGGGCUUUUCUUGGAAACUAAAAUUUUACACUAACCUACACAUAACUAUGCUGAUGUUACAUCCUGACUACAGUAUGUCUGCGGUGCCUAAGAAACUAAAACAUCAAAUGACACUCUUCCAAGUUUUGUAAGAUUCUACUGUUUUCACUGUACAAUCAAAAAGCAAGCUGGAACUUACAUGUUGCCCUUUGAUCCAGAUGCAACUUGUUCCAAAACUUUAGCACCUUCAGGUCAAUUUCCUAAAUAUCUGGCCCAAUUGGUCAAGCACCAAGCAAAGGCGUUCGCUGCUCCGGCAGAGACGGAAGGGACCACAUCGGCGAGGCGGUGAUCCUGAGACCCACGCCACCCUCCUGUGUGACCCACCGCCGUCGAGAUCUCCAUGACCCCCUUCCUUCACAUAAUACAAGCAGAUCAGAUUGAAUACUUGUAUCAUAUCAAAUGCAGAGUAAACAGCAACACAUAAACAACAUGUACCUUGCAAACAAAGUGUUGAAAUUUUUGUUGCCGCUGUACAGUAACAAGCCUAGGAGACUAGGAGGUGCAGAACUUUGAUUUGGUCUACCUGCAGAGACCAUACAGAGACGGGGGUCAGAGGGAGAAGGGAGGUAGAAGGAUCCGCAGCAGCUUCUCCUUGGAGGAAAGGGAACUCACCAGAUGAGAUGGGGAAAAACUGUACAAACCCUAGCCAUGGCCGUGGGCUAUGGCUUCGUUCGUGAGGAGGGAGGGAGGUUGGCGCGGUAGGCGGCUACGGGGUCCUCUGCUCUGCUGCUCGCCGAUUGGUUGUGGACGAGCCGGUGGCGGUCCUCUGCUGCUCGCCGCGGCUCGACCACGAACAGGGUGGCGGCGCGACUGGAGAGGAGACGAACUGAAGGUGGAGGAGGACCACAGGCUCCUGCGUGAUCUGGCCGUCAGCAUCGUCUGGAGGUGGAGGAAGCAGGUGGGGGGAGGGAGCUGGGAGAUGCACCGGCGUGGGAUCCGGGAGACGGGGAGAGUAAUGGGGAUUGGCGUGGGAUGGGGAUACGGGGGAUACGGGAAGACUUGUGUGAUUGCGUUGGU
RNAcentral lists this long non-coding RNA (4045 nucleotides) under Triticum aestivum (bread wheat). Its description in RNAcentral is "long non-coding RNA (TAES_LNC004346)". The record is from RNAcentral. Lineage: Eukaryota; Viridiplantae; Streptophyta; Magnoliopsida; Poales; Poaceae.